Long non-coding RNA from Equus caballus (horse), 2139 nucleotides. Lineage: Eukaryota; Metazoa; Chordata; Mammalia; Perissodactyla; Equidae. The record is from Ensembl.
GUGCUGGUUCCAGGGUCCCGUGACUAAGGGAACCUUGACCUGGUGCAGCAGUUUCCAAGCAGGAAGGGGUCUUGAAACCUCGAGGGAGACGGGCCUUCCUACGGGUUUAAGACUGGGGGUUCCUGCUCUCCUGAUGGAAGACCAACCAAUUUGCGUCUUUCAUUUCCAUUUCCCAGCCAAAAGGAAAGAGAAGUUGAACUAAACUAGAAAAGAAAAGAAAAGUAAAGUAAACCUUUGAGUAACCUGAUGCUUAAGAAGCCUAAUUAACUCCCCAAAUCACCAGUAAAGGAUUUUUCAACGUAGAGGACGGGUGCGGAUGGAUUCCUUUAAAUAGCCGGUUCCCCUAGUGCCCGGACAAGUUGGGUUCCAGUCACACAAUGUUGUUUGUGAAGCUUCAAGAGCAGUCCUGUUGUGUAAAGAAAAACUAAUGUGGAAUUUCUUCCGAGUAUUGUGGGGCAAUUUAUCAUCAUUGCUUGUGACAAAGAAACAAAUGUAUUUUCCUUCCUAAAAACAUUUAUUUGGAAGGCGUAUUUUACACAAAUGUAAAAGGAGAGUUUAUCUUCAUUUCCCCCUUUUUAAUGAAAUGAAACAUUUUAUCCUUUUUUUGAAAAGUGGACGUUUUCUUCCAUAAUAAAAUUAAAAACGACCAGGAAAUUAAGUUUUGACCCCUUGUUGCAGCAAUUUGUUGAUGAGACCGUUUUAAAUCUAAGCACAAAUAACUCAUGACUCACACUGUAGCUUAUUUUAACUCACUCUGGCUGCUGUUCUGUCAGUAGACUAGAAUGUUCUGAAGUGGUUGUCAUCAGACGCUCACCGGAUCUGGGGAUUUGUCUCCCAGAAAUGUCAUGGUCUCCUCGACAGCAGCUGCGGGUCCAGCUGAAGCCCUAAUCUGUGCUGAGUCCCGGCGGCCCCUCGAGCCCCUGCAAGGCUGGCUUCUGCAGAGCCACCUCGCUCGUAGCCGUCCCCCAGCACAACACGGACGGCCUGUGUGUCAUCUUUACCUUUUAAAUAAAAAAUAUUUAUGUAAAUAAUAAUCCAAAAACAAUCGGUGAUUUUCUAGUUAUAAAAAGUGAUAUAUAAUAUAGACAAAGAUUCGAACUUAUUUAUAUCGAGGCUCUGCCAGGGACCAUCUCACAAAUCUUUCACUAUUAUCCAUCCAACUCUUAUCUGUUCCCCAGAUUCAAGCUUAUAAAAGGUCUUUGGUUUCAACUGUCUUUCUUCUUAGAGCCCAGCGUCUUCUGAGGCCCUUAGUACCAUCUCUAGCAUUGGUUCUGACUCAGAGGUCUUAAAGGGGCCGAGUGGUUUUCAUCGGAUGUUUUCUGCGGUGCCAGUGACUUUUCUCUCCAGCUGGAUUGUAAGUUCCUUCAGGUGGGAACUAUUUUAUCCUUCUGAGCAGCUUUCCAGUGCGUCGGGUGUACUGUGUUCAGUAACUACGUGUGUGCCUCCAGGCCUCCCAAUACAGACGCGCUGUCAUUUCUUGUUCUCUCGUCUGUCUUUAUAAAACUCAUCUCUCACCAUUUUCCUUCUCAAAACCCUGCCAGCGCUCCCCGUUUCCCCAUGAAUUAAAUACAGAGUCCCCCGUGAGCUAUUUAAGACCCCACCUGCGGUCCGAACCAGCUUCCGCCAUUCCCAAUGACCCAAUGACCGCUGCACCAGUCUGAAUUUCCUGCCGGGUUUGCAGCCGGAGGCCACACUCAACAUGGGUCUCUCUCAGUUCCCACAGCUGGGUGUGCGUCAAAAUCACCUGGGAAGUUUAAACAGAAGAAUCUCCAGGCUCAGCGCCAAGCUUAGUGUAUCGGAGCCUCAGGGUGGGGGCCCUGGCUGUAUGUUAAACUGGUGCCCCCUGCUGAUGCCACACCACCCCGCGCAAUUCAGGGCCUCUGAUUUUGGAAUCUCUCAGGAGCAGCCUCAUCAGCCUUCUGCGUGUAGCUCUAAAUCCACUAUCCUCCAUGGAGACAGACACCACUAAGGACAAGCACCUGGAUUAUCUCCUCCUGCAAAGAGAUACGGGCUGGUGGGAAAGCUCCGACCAGCAAGGCCAUAUGCUCCCCCUCCCCUACCUGAAAGCCCAAAUAAAAACCCUUCCUUUUAGGUUUUCGGGGAGUUUGAGAUUUCAGCGUUAGCUGCCCUCUCUCCUUG